AAUAAAUCGAACUUUGUUAAGCAGAAAAUCAAUUUCAUGCAUGUGACUUAAGGUAUUUGUACAGUUUGUUUACAUGAGAGUUUAUAACUGAAACUUAAAUCAGAACUUACAUUUUGUGUUCAAAAUUAAUCAACUACAUAAAGGAUAAGGAAGAAAACACUAACAAGAAUAAGAUUAGCAUAGCAACGAUAGAUUGGAUUCGUGAGCAUUAAAAGUCAACAAUGAUCUAAUCACAUAAGAUAUAGAUUGCCACAUCACUAUAACAAUGUUGAAACAGUUGAAAUUUUAUGUCGUAGCAACGGCCAAAACUGUAAUGGAUACAAUAAAAUAUAUUCGGCAAGAGGACUCUAAUAGUGCGGUGAGCGUGGAUCUGAAGGUCGCGUGUUCGAUCCACGCUCACCGCACCAUUUGAUAACAAUACAAACUAUGAAUGGUGAUUUUGAAAAUUGCCCUAUUUUUGAGUUUUUGUUUGAAAAAUACAUUCUACCCUAUUUUCAAUUAAAAAUAUAAUUUUAAAUAUGUUAAAUGACAAUUUUUGUCCAGAUUUGAAAUAAAAGAAAUC
This 562-nucleotide small RNA is filed under the name Arabidopsis thaliana (thale cress). RNAcentral describes it as "ATSL281650". The record is from RNAcentral. Lineage: Eukaryota; Viridiplantae; Streptophyta; Magnoliopsida; Brassicales; Brassicaceae.